Molecule: microRNA precursor, 155 nt
Filed under: Procavia capensis (Cape rock hyrax)
Lineage: Eukaryota; Metazoa; Chordata; Mammalia; Hyracoidea; Procaviidae
Description: miRNA (ENSPCAG00000019021.1)
Source: RNAcentral
AAUAUAGGACAUCCAUUUAAAUUUGAAUCUCAGAUAAACAACAAGUAAUUUUUUAGUUUAAGCAUGUCCUAUGUAACAUUUGGGACAUAUUUAUACUAAAAAAAAUUUAUUCAUUAUUUACCUGAAAUUUAUGUUAGCCAGACAUCCUGUAUUUU